This 446-nucleotide ribosomal RNA is filed under the name uncultured bacterium. RNAcentral describes it as "partial 16S ribosomal RNA". It matches the Rfam family "Bacterial small subunit ribosomal RNA", at positions 338 to 795 of the family's 1533-position model. The record is from RNAcentral.
CCUACGGGUGGCAGCAGUCGAGAAUCAUUCACAAUGGGGGAAACCCUGAUGGUGCGACGCCGCGUGGGGGAAUGAAGGUCUUCGGAUUGUAAACCCCUGUCAUGUGGGAGCAAAUUAAAAAGAUAGUACCACAAGAGGAAGAGACGGCUAACUCUGUGCCAGCAGCCGCGGUAAUACAGAGGUCUCAAGCGUUGUUCGGAAUCACUGGGAGGAAAGCGUGCGUAGGCUGUUUCGUAAGUCGUGUGUGAAAGGCGCGGGCUCAACCCGCGGACGGCACAUGAUACUGCGAGACUAGAGUAAUGGAGGGGGAACCGGAAUUCUCGGUGUAGCAGUGAAAUGCGUAGAUAUCGGGAGGAACACUCGUGGCGAAGGCGGGUUCCUGGACAUUAACUGACGCUGAGGCACGAAGGCCAGGGGAGCGAAAGGGAUUAGAUACCCGGGUAGUC